GACCGCGUAGCUCAGUUGGAAGAGCAUUGGGCUAGUAUUCCAAAGGUCGUAGGUUCGAAUCCUACCGUGGCCA
This 73-nucleotide transfer RNA is filed under the name Paramuricea clavata. It matches the Rfam family "tRNA". Rfam says of the family: Transfer RNA (tRNA) molecules are approximately 80 nucleotides in length. Lineage: Eukaryota; Metazoa; Cnidaria; Anthozoa; Malacalcyonacea; Plexauridae. The record is from Rfam by way of RNAcentral.